RNAcentral lists this ribosomal RNA (253 nucleotides) under uncultured bacterium. Its description in RNAcentral is "partial 16S ribosomal RNA". It matches the Rfam family "Bacterial small subunit ribosomal RNA", at positions 524 to 776 of the family's 1533-position model. The record is from RNAcentral.
UACGAAGGGGGCGAGCGUUGUUCGGAUUUACUGGGCGUAAAGGGCGCGCAGGCGGUCAUUUUUGUCGAGUGUGAAAGCCCCGGGCUUAACCUGGGAACUGCGCUCGAAACGGGAUGACUAGAGAUCGGGAGAGGAGAGUGGAAUUCCCAGUGUAGAGGUGAAAUUCGUAGAUAUUCGCAAGAACACCAGUGGCGAAGGCGGCUCACUGGCCCGGUACUGACGCUGAGGUGCGAAAGCGUGGGGAGCAAACAGA